CAAAUUGACCCUCUCUCUUCACGGAGGAAUUCUACACUGUCACACUUGCACCACGUCAUCAAUAACAAACCAAUCACAUUUCUUCUUUUCAAACAAAAGUACAAUAAAAAUACUUUUUUACAAUCAUGAUGGAACAUAUAUUCUUAAAAAAAUUAAUUUGAUUAGUUUGUUACGCCACGUCACUAAUAUAUCCGUUGCAUUCUAGAAUUUUUCCUCUUCACGAUGCCAUGCACGUUACAUAUAUACAUUCCCCCGCACCCUCCCCUUCUCUCACCUUUUCUCUUCCCCCUCUCAUCCUCCUCCUCUUGUUCUGACCACCUUUUACAAACAAAAC
This 334-nucleotide long non-coding RNA is filed under the name Ananas comosus (pineapple). Its description in RNAcentral is "long non-coding RNA (ACOM_LNC031318)". Lineage: Eukaryota; Viridiplantae; Streptophyta; Magnoliopsida; Poales; Bromeliaceae. The record is from RNAcentral.